GAUGAACGCUGGCGGCGUGCUUAACACAUGCAAGUCGAGCGAACAGACGAGGAGUUUGUGCGUUGGACGUUAGGCGCGCACGGGUGUGAAACACGUGGAAAAUCCACUUAUAAGAGGGGGAUAAUCACGGGAAACCGGAGCUAAUCCCGGAUAACAUGCUGAUCCGCAGUGUUGAAUAGUGAAAGACGGCCUUGCUGUCACUUAUAGAUGCAUCUCGGCUGCAUUAGCUGGUUGGGAAGGUAACGGCUUACCAAGGGAACGAGGCGUGGCCGACCUGAGAGGCGGAUCGGCCACACUGGAGCUGAGACGCGGUCAUGGCUCCUGCGAGAGGCAGCAGUAGGGAAUCGGCGGCAGUGGGCGAGAGCCUGGCGGAGCGACGCCGCGUGAGUGGAAACGGUCUUCGGUUCGUGAUGCUCUGUUAUGGGGUAUGAACCGAUGUGGAAGUAGCUGUACAGGGCGUGACGGUACCUGGUCAAAAAGCCACGGCUAACUACGUG
RNAcentral lists this ribosomal RNA (497 nucleotides) under uncultured bacterium. Its description in RNAcentral is "partial 16S ribosomal RNA". It matches the Rfam family "Bacterial small subunit ribosomal RNA", at positions 28 to 507 of the family's 1533-position model. The record is from RNAcentral.